ACUCGGCUGAGCGAGGAUAAAUAGGCAUUAGGCUCAGGGCGUUCCCUCGCUACGAGGGAGGUUGCA
RNAcentral lists this ribozyme (66 nucleotides) under Lysinibacillus sp. BF-4. RNAcentral's name for it is "Pistol ribozyme". It matches the Rfam family "Pistol ribozyme". The record is from Rfam by way of RNAcentral. Lineage: Bacteria; Bacillati; Bacillota; Bacilli; Caryophanales; Bacillaceae.